Molecule: ribosomal RNA, 255 nt
Filed under: uncultured bacterium
Lineage: Bacteria
Description: partial 16S ribosomal RNA
Rfam family: Bacterial small subunit ribosomal RNA
Source: RNAcentral
UACGUAGGGUGCGAGCGUUGUCCGGAAUUAUUGGGCGUAAAGAGCUCGUAGGCGGUUUGUUGCGUCGGCUGUGAAAUCCCGAGGCUCAACCUCGGGUCUGCAGUCGAUACGAGCAAACUAGAGUGUUGCAGGGGGAGACUGGAAUUCCUGGUGUAGCGGUGAAAUGCGCAGAUAUCAGGAGGAACACCGGUGGCGAAGGCGGGUCUCUGGGCCGAUAUUGACGCUGAGGAGCGAAAGCGUGGGGGAGCGAACAGG